RNAcentral lists this ribosomal RNA (466 nucleotides) under uncultured organism. RNAcentral describes it as "partial 16S ribosomal RNA". It matches the Rfam family "Bacterial small subunit ribosomal RNA", at positions 334 to 797 of the family's 1533-position model. The record is from RNAcentral.
CACUCCUGCGGGAGGCAGCAGUGAGGAAUAUUGGACAAUGGGUGGAAGCCUGAUCCAGCCAUCCCGCGUGCAGGAAGACGGCCCUAUGGGUUGUAAACUGCUUUUAUCUGGGGAUAAACCUACUUACGUGUAAGUAGCUGAAGGUACCAGAAGAAUAAGCACCGGCUAACUCCGUGCCAGCAGCCGCGGUAAUACGGAGGGUGCAAGCGUUAUCCGGAUUUAUUGGGUUUAAAGGGUCCGUAGGCGGACUGAUAAGUCAGUGGUGAAAUCCGACAGCUUAACUGUCGAACUGCCAUUGAUACUGUUAGUCUUGAGUAGGUUGAAGUGGCUGGAAUAAGUAGUGUAGCGGUGAAAUGCAUAGAUAUUACUUAGAACACCAAUUGCGAAGGCAGGUCACUAAGUCUUAACUGACGCUGAUGGACGAAAGCGUGGGGAGCGAACAGGAUUAGAAACCCGUGUAGUCCCA